GCCUAAAUCUUAGCCCCCCCCUCCUACCCACACUUCUAUAAACAAAUAAAACAUUUUUUUAUCUAGUAAAGGCGAUUAAAAAAUACAUCGGAGCUAUAAAAACAGUACCGCAAGGGAAACAUGAAAUAAAAUGAAAACUCAAAGCAAAUUAAAGCAAAGUUUAACUCUUGUACCUUUUGCAUCAUGAUCUAGCCAGUUUAACCAGGCAAAACGCACCUAAAGUUUGACACCCCGAAACUAGACGAGCUACUUUAAAACAGCCCACGGGGCAAACUCAUCCCUAUUGCAAAACGGUGAGAAGAUUUUAAAGUAGAGGUGACACACCUACCGAGCCUAGAGAUAGCUGGUUAUUCAAAAAACGGAUAUAAGUCCAACUUUAAGUUUUUUUAGUCUACUAAACAAUUAUCAAACUUAAAAGCCAUUCAAAUAAGGUACAGCCUAUUUGAAUAAGGAAACAACCUACAAUAUAGGGUAAUAAUUAACAAGCAUGACCAAGUAGGCCUAAAAGCAGCCACCUCCAAAAGCGUCCAAGCUUCCUCAUAAACUAUAUUUUAUCCCACUAUUAACCCCCAACCCUUAAACCCCCACUGAAUGACCCCAUACCCAUAUGGAAGACAUCAUGCUAGAACUAGUAACAAGAAGACGAACUUCUCCAAAAUGCAAGCGUAGGCCAAAAUAAACUUCUUGCCGGCAUUUACCACUAUAACAGUACAUUUUCACAAGAAAACUCUACUAACACAAGCGCUAACCUAACACCAGAGCAUUACUGGAAAGAUUAAAAGGAGGGGAAGGAACUCGGCAAACCCCAGCCCCGCCUGUUUACCAAAAACAUCGCCUCUUGAAAGUAUAAGAGGUCUAGCCUGCCCAGUGACUAAUAGUUAAACGGCCGCGGUACCCUAACCGUGCAAAGGUAGCACAAUCACUUGUUCUCUAAAUCAGGACUAGUAUGAACGGCCCAACGAGAGCUAUGCUGUCUCCCCCCCCUAAUCAGUGAAACUGAUCCCCUCGUGAAGAAGCGAGGAUGCCCCAAUAAGACGAGAAGACCCCAUGGAACUUUAAACUAGUACCACCCCUUACACUAAGGCCACUUGACUACUAGUCUUUCGGCUGGGGCGACCACGGAGAAAAAUAAAACCCCCGAGAUGAAAGGAAAUAUCCUUAUCCCAGAACUACUAUUCAAAGAAUCAAUAAAUGACAUAAUUGACCCAAUACUUGAUCAACGAACCAAGCUACCCUGGGGAUAACAGCGCAAUCCAUUUCAAGAGACCUCAUCGACAAAUGGGCUUACGACCUCGAUGUUGGAUCAGGGUAUCCUAGUGGUGCAACCGCUACUAAGGGUUCGUUUGUUCAAC
Molecule: ribosomal RNA, 1352 nt
Filed under: Stumpffia pygmaea (Andoany stump-toed frog)
Lineage: Eukaryota; Metazoa; Chordata; Amphibia; Anura; Microhylidae
Description: partial 16S ribosomal RNA
Rfam family: Bacterial large subunit ribosomal RNA
Source: RNAcentral